GAUGAACGCUGGCGGCGUGCCUAAUACAUGCAAGUCGAGCGGACAGACGAGGAGCUUGCUCCUCUGACGUUAGCAGCGGAGGGCGGAUGAAUAAGAGGAUAACCUACCUCUAACACUGGGAGAAUUACGGCAAACAGGAGCUAAUACCGGAUAAUAUAUUGAAUCGCUUGGUUCAAUAGUGAGAGACAGUUUUGCUGUCGCUUAUAGAUGGCUUCGCGCCGCAUUAGCUAGUUGGUGAGGUAACGGCUUACCAAGGCAACGAUGCGUAGCCGACCUGAGAGGGUGGUCGACCACCACGGAACUGAGACACGAUCCUGACUACUACGGCAGGAAGCAGUAGGGAAUAUUACGCAAUGGGCGGAAGACUGCUGGAGCAACGUCGCGUGAUUGGUGAUGGUCUUCUGAUCGUAGAACUCUUCUAUUAGGGAAGAACAAAUGCUUAAGUAACUGUGCAUGUCUUGACGGUACCUGAUCAGAAAGCCCCGGCUAACUACGUG
RNAcentral lists this ribosomal RNA (497 nucleotides) under uncultured bacterium. Its description in RNAcentral is "partial 16S ribosomal RNA". It matches the Rfam family "Bacterial small subunit ribosomal RNA", at positions 28 to 507 of the family's 1533-position model. The record is from RNAcentral.